RNAcentral lists this ribosomal RNA (492 nucleotides) under uncultured bacterium. Its description in RNAcentral is "partial 16S ribosomal RNA". It matches the Rfam family "Bacterial small subunit ribosomal RNA", at positions 29 to 507 of the family's 1533-position model. The record is from RNAcentral.
AGUGAACGCUGGCGGUAGGCCUAACACAUGCAAGUCGAACGGCAGCACAGUAAGCGCUUGCUCUUACGGGUGGCGAGUGGCGGACGGGUGAGGAAUACAUCGGAAUCUACUUUUUCGUGGGGGAUAACGUAGGGAAACUUACGCUAAUACCGCAUACGACCUACGGGUUAAAGCAGGAGAUCUUCGGACCUUGCGCGAUUCAAUGAGCCGAUGUCGGAUUAGCUAGUUGGCGAGGUAACGGCCCACCAAGGCGACGAUCCGUAGCUGGUCUGAGAGGAUGAUCAGCCACACUGGAACUGAGACACGGUCCAGACUCCUACGGGAGGCAGCAGUGGGGAAUAUUGGACAAUGGGCGCAAGCCUGAUCCAGCCACACCGCGUGGGUGAAGAAGGUCUUCGGGUUGUAAAGCCCUGUUGUUGGGAAAGAAAAGCUGCGUAUUAAUACGCCGCUGUUCUGACGGUACCCAAACAAAAAGCAACGGCUAACUUCGUG